AACCCUACGGGAGGCAGCAGUAGGGAAUCUUCCACAAUGGACGAAAGUCUGAUGGAGCAACGCCGCGUGAGUGAAGAAGGGUUUCGGCUCGUAAAGCUCUGGUGGUAGUGAAGAAAGAUAGAGGUAGUAAAUGGCCUUUAUUUGACGGUAAUUACUUAGAAAGUCAAGGCUAACUACGUGCCAGCAGCCGCGGUAAUAAGUAGGUGGCAAGCGUUGUCCGGAUUUAUUGGGCGUAAAGCGAGUGAAGGCGGGUCAAUAA
This 259-nucleotide ribosomal RNA is filed under the name uncultured bacterium. Its description in RNAcentral is "partial 16S ribosomal RNA". It matches the Rfam family "Bacterial small subunit ribosomal RNA", at positions 334 to 586 of the family's 1533-position model. The record is from RNAcentral.